AUACGAAGGGUGCAAGCGUUAAUCGGAAUUACUGGGCGUAAAGCGCGCGUAGGUGGUUCAGCAAGUUGGAUGUGAAAGCCCCGGGCUCAACCUGGGAACUGCAUCCAAAACUACUGAGCUAGAGUACGGUAGAGGGUGGUGGAAUUUCCUGUGUAGCGGUGAAAUGCGUAGAUAUAGGAAGGAACACCAGUGGCGAAGGCGACCACCUGGACUGAUACUGACACUGAGGGGCGAAAGCGUGGGGAGCAAACAGGAUUAGAUACCCUGGUAGUCCACGCCGUAAACGAUGUCAACUAGUUGUUGGGUUCCUUGAGAACUUAGUAACGAAGCUAACGCGAUAAGUUGACCGCCUGGGGAGUACGGCCGCAAGGUUAAAACUCAAAUGAAUUGACGGGG
Molecule: ribosomal RNA, 396 nt
Filed under: uncultured bacterium
Lineage: Bacteria
Description: partial 16S ribosomal RNA
Rfam family: Bacterial small subunit ribosomal RNA
Source: RNAcentral